RNAcentral lists this ribosomal RNA (469 nucleotides) under uncultured bacterium. RNAcentral describes it as "bacterial SSU rRNA". It matches the Rfam family "Bacterial small subunit ribosomal RNA", at positions 26 to 524 of the family's 1533-position model. The record is from RNAcentral.
AGGAUGAACGCUGGCGGCGUGCCUAACACAUGCAAGUCGAGCGAUUCUCUUCGGAGAAUAGCGGCGGACGGGUGAGUAACGCGUGGGUAACCUGCCCUGUACACACGGAUAACAUACCGAAAGGUAUGCUAAUACGGGAUAACAUAAGAAAUUCGCAUGUUUUUUAUCAAAGCUCCGGCGGUACAGGAUGGACCCGCGUCUGAUUAGCUAGUUGGUGAGGUAACGGCUCACCAAGGCGACGAUCAGUAGCCGACCUGAGAGGGUGAUCGGCCACAUUGGAACUGAGACACGGUCCAAACUCCUACGGGAGGCAGCAGUGGGGAAUAUUGCACAAUGGGCGAAAGCCUGAUGCAGCAACGCCGCGUGAGCGAUGAAGGCCUUCGGGUCGUAAAGCUCUGUCCUCAAGGAAGAUAAUGACGGUACUUGAGGAGGAAGCCCCGGCUAACUACGUGCCAGCAGCCGCGGUAAU